GCAGGGAUGUGUGCACAGUGUCAGUCUGUGUCUAGUAGAGCAGUUUGUCAGUGUCUUGCUGGCUGACCGUUCCACUCACACAAAUCCUGCGGCCGCAGAGCAACAUGAGAUCAUAGUACUGGUCUAGCGACGUCUGCAGGACGCUUCCACCGCUGGCCAGCCUCCAAACUCUCAGAUAUCU
This is a small nucleolar RNA of Pseudophryne corroboree (corroboree frog), 181 nucleotides long. RefSeq annotates it as small nucleolar RNA SNORA23. The record is from RefSeq and is a predicted model, not a curated record. Lineage: Eukaryota; Metazoa; Chordata; Amphibia; Anura; Myobatrachidae. The transcript has a single exon.